This is a long non-coding RNA of Diceros bicornis minor, 458 nucleotides long. RefSeq lists it as uncharacterized. NCBI's taxonomy places the organism in Eukaryota, Metazoa, Chordata, Mammalia, Perissodactyla, Rhinocerotidae. The record is from RefSeq and is a predicted model, not a curated record. The transcript is spliced from 3 exons.
AGAGCUGCUCUGUAUAGCAGGCGAAUGGAGACCCCAGUGACCAACAGGAGAGCACCCUCCCAGUCCCACGAGACCUCAGCGCUCAGAGGAGCCCAGUGAGAGCACUCCUCCAGGCAGUUUGAAUCUCUCAGGUUGUCAAAGAAAAGGAUUUGCACUCAGACCCCUCACAUUAUCCCUAAAUUUAUCCUUCCCUCUUUCCCCUCGCCUCAGGGAGAGCUCUGAAAAACUUAAGGAGCGCUAUAGCCAAGACGAGUCCUUGAGCAGAGAACUGAUGACCAAGGUUAACAAGCAGAGGGAUCUUUUCUGCCCAUGGGCAGGUGGGGUGCCAUUUUUGGGCAGGAGGCCUUGGUCAUGGGACACAGUGGUGUUGGCUGGGCUGUUCCAGGACGAGUUGCUGAGCUGGCGCCAUCAGCAGGGAAAUGGAGGUAUGGUGAUUGUGUGGUGCAAGCCUCACAGGG